GACGAACGCUGGCGGCGUGCUUAACACAUGCAAGUCGAACGGUGAAGCUCCAGCUUGCUGGAGUGGAUCAGUGGCGAACGGGUGAGUAACACGUGAGCAACCUGCCCCUGACUCUGGAAUAAGCGCUGGAAACGGCGUCUAAUACUGGAUACGAGAAGGGUCCGCAUGGGCACUUUCUGGAAAGUUUUUCGGUUGGGGAUGUGCUCGCGGCCUAUCAGCUUGUUGGUGCGGUAAUGGCUCACCAAGGCGACGACGGGUAGCCGGCCUGAGAGGGCGACCGGCCACACUGGGACUGAGACACGGCCCAGACUCCUACGGGAGGCAGCAGUGGGGAAUAUUGCACAAUGGGCGAAAGCCUGAUGCAGCGACGCCGCGUGAGGGAUGACGGCCUUCGGGUUGUAAACCUCUUUCAGCAGGGAAGAAGCGAAAGUGACGGUACCUGCAGAAGAAGCACCGGCUAACUACGUG
This 468-nucleotide ribosomal RNA is filed under the name uncultured bacterium. Its description in RNAcentral is "partial 16S ribosomal RNA". It matches the Rfam family "Bacterial small subunit ribosomal RNA", at positions 28 to 507 of the family's 1533-position model. The record is from RNAcentral.